GCAUCGAUGAGCUGGUCUGGUGACUGGGCGCGGCUUCAAACCGCGUGGCGCCUCGCGGCGCAGGGGUUCGAUUCCUCCUUCGGUGC
Eimeria tenella is the source of this 86-nucleotide non-coding RNA. NCBI's taxonomy places the organism in Eukaryota, Apicomplexa, Conoidasida, Eucoccidiorida, Eimeriidae. The record is from Rfam.